UACGAAGGGGGCUAGCGUUGUUCGGAUUUACUGGGCGUAAAGCGCGUGCAGGCGGGUCGUUAAGUUGGGGGUGAAAUCCCGGAGCUCAACUCCGGAACUGCCUCCAAAACUGGCGACCUGGACCCAAGUAGAGGCAAGUGGAAUUCCGAGUGUAGAGGUGAAAUUCGUAGAUAUUCGGAGGAACACCAGUGGCGAAGGCGACGUGCUGGACUUGUGGUGACGCUGAGACGCGAAAGCGUGGGGAGCAAACAGG
RNAcentral lists this ribosomal RNA (253 nucleotides) under uncultured bacterium. RNAcentral describes it as "partial 16S ribosomal RNA". It matches the Rfam family "Bacterial small subunit ribosomal RNA", at positions 524 to 776 of the family's 1533-position model. The record is from RNAcentral.